Long non-coding RNA from Phycodurus eques (leafy seadragon), 2811 nucleotides. RefSeq lists it as uncharacterized. The record is from RefSeq and is a predicted model, not a curated record. NCBI's taxonomy places the organism in Eukaryota, Metazoa, Chordata, Actinopteri, Syngnathiformes, Syngnathidae. The transcript is spliced from 3 exons.
UCGUCCUUUCCAGACAUUGUGACCUGAAGUGUGUGUGCGUGUGUUUUCUUCAAAAGACUUCAUUUAUAUCAAUCCCUUUAAGUGUGAUGCGAUCAUAUUUUUGGACUAUCUGGCACAGGUUUUACUCACUGAAGAAUGAUAUGCUGUGAAGAAAUUAUUUUCUGUCUUUGGGUGCCUGGACUGCAUUCUGUGUUGACUUUUAAAUAUUGUUCGGAAUCUCUCCCAAGAGUCUGCUUUCCAAGAUGUUUUUGCUUUUAAGAGUUCAAGGAUACAAUGGUGUGAGCUUCCCUUUUUUUUUUUUUUUUUUUUUUUUCGUACUACCAACAUCAAAUGAGAUGCUGCUAAGGGCCAAAGAGAGAAUCCAAAAGGUGUUGCAGAAGAUAAAUUUAGGCUGAAGGCAUGUGGCAGCAAGGUGCGUAGAGAAGAUGGGGAGCAAGCAACAGAGAAUGGAAUAUCUGGUGCCAACCAUGCACCAGUGUAUGGAAUUCAUGAAUUCAAUCUGCAAGAAAUACUAUUAUCUACGGCAUAUUGGCUCAUGACUCAGCAGCCAGGAAGAAAAAUUAGGAUCUCAAAGCCCAGUUUCCACCAAGCAGUACUGUAUGGCACUCAAUUUUGGGGUGUUUGUGUUGUCAGAAGUUGUGCUGGGUUCUGAAAUAACAAAUACAUUCUGUACCACUUUUCAGCCCGUUUGGAUUAGGUUACCAAGCCCAAUGAUAGGGAACCUAAAGGGUGGAUGGAGCAAGGCACCCAUCAGUUCAGUGAUUGUUUCUUUUACAAUGUUUUUUUUUUUGUCCCGUCCACCCGAGAGCUGCCCGGUGGACGGGACACGUUCCACACCGACGGAGCAGAGCGGUCCGGCGGCCCCACCGAGGCGCCCCGACAACUGGCAACCCGGUGGGGGGGGCUGCAGGGACCCAAUGCCAGCCCCCCAGCCAAUCCCUGCCUCGCCCCACCGGGUCCCCGACUGGCAGUCAUUGGCCCUACCCUGUGUAUCAGUGCCCCCCGGAGUGGUGUGGUGCAUUCAACUCUGGAGAGGCCCGGUGAGCCUUGGGAGAAAACCCUGAUACUCCAGCUUUGCCUUCCCUGUUCUCUGUGCUUGGGACCACCUGCCUUUUGCCUGCACUACAGCUCAGUGGAUCCUCACAACAGAUCCAGAGGCAAAAGUCGAGAUGAAUUCAUAUUUUUCUCCAUUUUGAAUUUCAGGCAUUACUGUACAUAUCUUGUGUAGUAAUUUUUUCAAGUGAGUUACAAACUGGCGGCACGGUGGAUGACUGUUUAGCACAUCAGCCUCACAGUUCUGAGGACCGGGGUUCGAAUCCCAGCCUCGCCUGUGUGGAGUUUGCAUGUUCUCUUCUUACCUGCGUAGGUUUUCUCCGGGCACUCCGGUUUCCUCCCACAUCCCAAAAACAUGCAUGGUAGGUUGAUUGAAGACUCUAAGUAGCCCAUAGGUGUGAAUGUGAGUGCGAGUGGUUGUUUGUUUCUAUGUGCCCUGCGAUUGGCUGGCGACCAGUUCAGGGUGUACCCCAACCUCCUGCCCGAACAUAGCUGGGAUAGGCUCCAGCAUGCCCAGGACCCUUGUGAGGAUAAGCGGUACAGAAAAUGGAUGGUUGGAUGGAUUGAGUUACAAACUACUGCUGGCAUCGCAUCAGUGUAUUACUAUAAUUAGUGAGUACAUUUAUAUACCAAAUGGGGAUUUUCAUGAGAUAGACCUUUACUAUCACAUUUGUUUAUCACAUUAAGCCUUUGUCUGCCAGUUCUCUGAGACACAUUUUACAUAAAACAUCUGUCUGAAAGAAGGUAAAUUACCAAUGAGCUGACCUUUGCUGCUGUCCUAAAAAAAAAAACACACUGAUUGGUUGAAAUAUGGCCUAACUCAGACAAACUCAAGUUUCAUUUUUAUAGUGCAGAUUCAUGACAAAAAAUAUCUCCAGUCACUUUAUGGUGGAGCAUGGGUUGCCAACACCUGGGGCGAAUUAAGAGACAUCAUGCCUGCCUACGGCUAUGACCGACAGGGACUGUUCAAUAGGCUGGGAAGGGAGGCGCCAACGCAACAAACCAGUUAAGAGCAGGAGGACUCUGUCAAGGCACCUAUUGUAUAUCUGAAAUUAAGGACCGUGCCUCUCACACGCUGAGAAGGAUGAGAACCAGAAUCAACAGUGCUUUGCUUGAGCAACCACUUUGGCAACAGAGGCAAGGCAACUUGUCUUCAAGGGAAAAAAACAACAACCUGGAACACCAGCAGAUGCUGCAUUCAAGAAUUAAAGAGAUACUGGUGAAGGAAGCAUCUCGCAUCUUGAUGCAUCAACUUAGGUUAGAGUGCUACCUCACUAACCCACCGGGCAGGCGCUUCAAUCCAAAUGAGGAAGCAGCCAAAGACAUUUGCAGCUGGGCUUAAUGGAGGGAAGCGGUCCAAAGUCUCAGACUGAAUAAAAAUGAGUGUGCUUGGGUCAGACACUGUGCUGCUUUCUUAAAUGCUAAGACAGAUGGCAGUGCUGGAUAUGAUCGUCUCUGGCAGGAUUGGAGGAAGAAGACUAACGACAUGACCAAGUAAAAGGGCAAGCUCUAACCGACACUCCCUUCUGUGCGGUUGACCGCGUUUCCAAUAUUCUUCAUGAUCACUGAUGCAAGGAAAGUCAUCAAACCACAGCAGGCAGGGCCUCAUUGCAUGCCGUGCUAACCCAGGUCGGGGUCAGACGCUAACGCUUGGAUACUUCAAUUAUCCAUCCAGCAAGUUACGAGAAGGCAAAUCUCUGAUUUGUGUGUGCAAAUAAAUCUAAUAGAUUUUUUUUUUUUGCAAAAGAAAAAGAGAAU